CGGAGCAUAGCGCAGUCCGGUAGCGCACCUGCUUUGGGAGCAGGGGGUCGCAGGUUCGAAUCCUGCUGCUCCGACCA
This 77-nucleotide transfer RNA is filed under the name Hyphomicrobiales bacterium. RNAcentral's name for it is "Rhizobiales bacterium (bioreactor metagenome) tRNA-Pro". It matches the Rfam family "tRNA". Rfam says of the family: Transfer RNA (tRNA) molecules are approximately 80 nucleotides in length. Lineage: Bacteria; Pseudomonadati; Pseudomonadota; Alphaproteobacteria; Hyphomicrobiales. The record is from RNAcentral.